AGUUCUCGUUGAUGAUCGGUGCUUGCACUGAGAUUCAACAUGGAACGAGUGGCGGACGGGUGAGUAACACGUGGGUAACCUGCCCUUAAGUGGGGGAUAACAUUUGGAAACAGAUGCUAAUACCGCAUAGAUCCAAGAACCGCAUGGUUCUUGGCUGAAAGAUGGCGUAAGCUAUCGCUUUUGGAUGGACCCGCGGCGUAUUAGCUAGUUGGUGAGGUAAUGGCUCACCAAGGCGAUGAUACGUAGCCGAACUGAGAGGUUGAUCGGCCACAUUGGGACUGAGACACGGCCCAAACUCCUACGGGAGGCAGCAGUAGGGAAUCUUCCACAAUGGACGCAAGUCUGAUGGAGCAACGCCGCGUGAGUGAAGAAGGCUUUCGGGUCGUAAAACUCUGUUGUUGGAGAAGAAUGGUCGGCAGAGUAACUGUUGUCGGCGUGACGGUAUCCAACCAGAAAGCCACGGCUAACUACGUGCCAGCAGCCGCGGUAAUACGUAGGUGGCAAGCGUUAUCCGGAUUUAUUGGGCGUAAAGCGAGCGCAGGCGGUUUUUUAAGUCUGAUGUGAAAGCCCUCGGCUUAACCGAGGAAGCGCAUCGGAAACUGGGAAACUUGAGUGCAGAAGAGGACAAUGGAACUCCAUGUGUAGCGGUGAAAUGCGUAGAUAUAUGGAAGAACACCAGUGGCGAAGGCGGCUGUCUGGUCUGUAACUGACGCUGAGGCUCGAAAGCAUGGGUAGCGAACAGGAUUAGAUACCCUGGUAGUCCAUGCCGUAAACGAUGAAUGCUAGGUGUUGGAGGGUUUCCGCCCUUCAGUGCCGCAGCUAACGCAUUAAGCAUUC
This 837-nucleotide ribosomal RNA is filed under the name uncultured bacterium. RNAcentral describes it as "bacterial SSU rRNA". It matches the Rfam family "Bacterial small subunit ribosomal RNA", at positions 60 to 869 of the family's 1533-position model. The record is from RNAcentral.